RNAcentral lists this ribosomal RNA (497 nucleotides) under uncultured bacterium. Its description in RNAcentral is "partial 16S ribosomal RNA". It matches the Rfam family "Bacterial small subunit ribosomal RNA", at positions 28 to 507 of the family's 1533-position model. The record is from RNAcentral.
GAUGAACGCUGGCGGCGUGCCUAAUACAUGCAAGUCGAGCGAACGGACGAGAAGCUUGCUUCUCUGAUGUUAGCGGCGGACGGGUGAGUAACACGUGGAUAACCUACCUAUAAGACUGGGAUAACUUCGGGAAACCGGAGCCAAUACCGGAGAAUAUUUUGCACCGUAUGGUUCAAUAGCGCAAGACGGUCUUGUUGACAGUGAUAGAUGUAUCCGCGCUGCAUUAGCUAGUUGGUAAGGUAACGGCUUACCAAGGCAACGAUGCGUAGCCGACCUGAGAGGGUGAUCGGCCACACUGGAACUGAGACACGGUCCAGACUCCUACGGGAGGCAGCAGUAGGGAAUCUUCCGCAAUGGGCGAAAGCCUGACGGAGCAACGCCGCGUGAGUGAUGAAGGUCUUCGGAUCGUAAAACUCUGUUAUUAGGGAAGAACAUAUGUGUAAGUAACUGUGCACAUCUUGACGGUACCUAAUCAGAAAGCCACGGCUAACUACGUG